RNAcentral lists this transfer RNA (72 nucleotides) under Perca fluviatilis (European perch). It matches the Rfam family "tRNA". From Rfam's summary of the family: Transfer RNA (tRNA) molecules are approximately 80 nucleotides in length. Their secondary structure includes four short double-helical elements and three loops (D, anti-codon, and T loops). The record is from Rfam by way of RNAcentral. Lineage: Eukaryota; Metazoa; Chordata; Actinopteri; Perciformes; Percidae.
GCCGAAAUAGCUCAGUUGGGAGAGCAUUAGACUGAAGAUCUAGUCCUCCCUGGUUCAAUCCUGGGUUUCGCA